This 400-nucleotide ribosomal RNA is filed under the name uncultured bacterium. Its description in RNAcentral is "bacterial SSU rRNA". It matches the Rfam family "Bacterial small subunit ribosomal RNA", at positions 355 to 772 of the family's 1533-position model. The record is from RNAcentral.
UGGGGAAUAUUGGACAAUGGGCGAAAGCCUGAUCCAGCAAUGCCGCGUGAAUGAUGAAGGCCUUUGGGUUGUAAAAUUCUUUUACCAGGGAAGAUAAUGACGGUACCUGGUGAAUAAGCACCGACUAACUACGUGCCAGCAGUCGCGGUAAUACGUAGGGUGCGAGCGUUGCUCGGAAUUACUGGGCGUAAAGCACAUGUAGGCUGUUUUGUAAGUUAGAGGUGUAAUCCCUGGGCUUAACUCAGGAACUGCUUCUAAAACUGCAAAGCUAGAGUAUGGUAGAGGAUAGUGGAAUUCCUAGUGUAGAGGUAAAAUUCUUAGAUAUUAGGAGGAACACCAAAAGCGAAAGCAGCUAUCUGGGCCAUUACUGACGCUGAGAUGUGACAGCGUGGGGAGCAAA